ACGGGGGGGGCAAGCGUUGUUCGGAAUUACUGGGCGUAAAGGGCUCGUAGGUGGCCAACUAAGUCAGACGUGAAAUCCCUCGGCUUAACCGGGGAACUGCGUCUGAUACUGGAUGGCUCGAGUUUGGGAGAGGGAUGCGGAAUUCCAGGUGUAGCGGUGAAAUGCGUAGAUAUCUGGAGGAACACCGGUGGCGAAGGCGCACAUCUGGCCCGAUACUGACGCUCAGGGACGAAAGCGUGGGUAGCAAACAGGA
RNAcentral lists this ribosomal RNA (253 nucleotides) under uncultured prokaryote. RNAcentral describes it as "partial 16S ribosomal RNA". It matches the Rfam family "Bacterial small subunit ribosomal RNA", at positions 525 to 777 of the family's 1533-position model. The record is from RNAcentral.